Molecule: non-coding RNA, 477 nt
Organism: Biomphalaria pfeifferi
Lineage: Eukaryota; Metazoa; Mollusca; Gastropoda; Planorbidae
Source: the annotation of a GenBank genome assembly
CUGAGAUGCGAAACAUUUUAAUGGCGUAAUAUUGUCUUCAUAACAAUGAAAUUUACAUUAAAAUAAACAUGAAUACUAAAUAAUUACCGCACAUAUACACACCAAUACAUUUUCUCCUACACACACACACUCUUGACAAAUUAAAGAAAAAAACAACAACAAAGAGAUGUCGUUUGUUAGGGUUCUAAUUGAAAUAACAGACUUCACGUAUGAAGAAUUACAUUUGAACGAGAAUGAGAUUCCACUGACCUUGACAGAACUAAAAUGUUUGACUUAAGCAUUUCAUAACUUGGUGAAACAAUUUAACCUCAUUAUUUAUGCCAUGUCAGCAAUAGCUUCUAUUGAAAAGAAAAGGUUUCUAUUGUUAAAAAAAAAAGAACAUUGCAAGCUUGACAGAAUAAAUAUUAUACCCCCGAGCUAUUUCUACAUUAAGAUUCACUGCAAGCAUAAUAUCUAUCUGACGUUAAGCAUUAUAGA